This 1644-nucleotide unclassified non-coding RNA is filed under the name Hevea brasiliensis (rubber tree). The record is from RNAcentral. Lineage: Eukaryota; Viridiplantae; Streptophyta; Magnoliopsida; Malpighiales; Euphorbiaceae.
CAGGGAUAUAAAAUUUUCUUUCCAAGAAAAGAAAUGGGGAAGGAAAAGUUUGGAAAAAUCUAUUAAAGAUUUGGCUUUUUACUUGAUUAAAUUGAUGGGGGCAGCUGGUUCUAUCAUUUAAGAUUAGCUGUAAAGAGUUGACGCUAAUCAAUAUUGUACAAACUUUGAUAUUGAGCAACAAGGAUUUGUCAAGAUUUGCCCAAAAGGUUCCCAUAUGUCAAUAUAAAAAGUAGAAAAGUUUACAAAGAAGGUAGACGCCAAAGAUUGAAGAGAGAUGAAGCAAAUGACAGAAACCAAGACAGGAAAGCCAUAACAGCUGACAACUGAUAUCUGCUACAGAAGUUUGCACGGCAAUAUGGAGUUCCAACAUCAAGCAGAAGAUCUGUAACGCUUGCUGUUGAGCUCGCUGCUGCUAAUGAUAGAAGUGAUAAAACCAAAUCUCCAAUGAUAAUGGCUGACAGAAUUCUUGGUUGAUGAGGUAAACAUUUAACAAAGACAGAAUAUACAUCCACUAGCACCAGAGUUAUGCUCCAUGGAAUAACAAAACCCAUGACAGUCACCAAAUAGCUGCCACAAAAAGGGACAACCAGUAAUGAAAAUCACACAAAAUGACUUGAUAAAAAUGUGUAUCUGAAUUCUAUCAACCAAGGAAAUUUGAGAAUGGUAAAACAGAAAGAAAUUCAUAAACCAAUGGGUAUUUAUAUAGCAAAAGGAACAAGAAUACUAAAUUCACUUUAUUUGCAUCUAGAUCACAUGGAUGAUUUCAGUAGUUCUUUGGAGAAUCCAUAAUUUCAGAAAUUUGAAUGGCAAGAUAAUUGACCAGUAAUUCUUUUAAAAAAACUAGCAUUUUUUAGAAACAAUACCAGAAGGAUAAUGAUCAGCGAAUUGUAUUCACUCCUUCACAUAUACAUUGAAUGUCAACAAUUUCCAUAGAAGACCGCUACAGGUUUCACCACCAAGGACACUUAAAUUAUUAAUAUUUAUAAAAUGUUCCUAGUUCAAACACCUCAAAAUUGAUAUGAACAACAGAAGAUCUCAACCCAGUAUCCUGGGGCAAUCCACCACUAGAAAACACAGAAGGUCUAAUAGCUGAUCAGACCAUCCAUCAUCAUCAAACUAAGGAGGCUAAUUACAGGUGCCCUCUGGAAAGAUGGUCCUAACAACUAACAAAGACUAGGUCCAUGUAAAGCUGUUUGAAACGUUUACAACAUUUGGUUCCCAAUUGGGUAUAAGUUUAUAUAUAAUGUGGACAGGGACAAUUGCAACGUGUUUAAGCAACAAAUGUAAAAUGCCCCAGAUGAAAUAGUCCCUAAUUGCCAAAAUUUAGCAUUUGGCACUCACUCACAACCCAAAUGUUAUCCCCAUACCUCUCUCUCCCAGACCCUCUAAUGAGCCCAAUUCCAAGGGCACAGCUGAGAAUUAACGAGCAAUUAGGAGGAAAAUGAAAAGAAAAAUACAGCAGCAAAGAACAAAACAGCUGAUAAGAAAAAUAUUCUACAGCAUGGAAUUGCAGCAAAUACAAAAUAAAUGAUAUAAACUAAAAUGAAAAUAAAAGAAUAAAAAGAUAUGGGUAUUGAAUAAAGAUUAAAAAAAGGAUCUAUUUAAAUUGAUCAAAGUGCAGGAAAGUAAGAAUCAAAGAAUUAC